This 71-nucleotide transfer RNA is filed under the name Pseudophyllus titan. Its description in RNAcentral is "tRNA-Val". It matches the Rfam family "tRNA". From Rfam's summary of the family: Transfer RNA (tRNA) molecules are approximately 80 nucleotides in length. Their secondary structure includes four short double-helical elements and three loops (D, anti-codon, and T loops). Further hydrogen bonds mediate the characteristic L-shaped molecular structure. tRNAs have two regions of fundamental functional importance: the anti-codon, which is responsible for specific mRNA codon recognition, and the 3' end, to which the tRNAs corresponding amino acid is attached (by aminoacyl-tRNA synthetases). tRNAs cope with the degeneracy of the genetic code in two manners: having more than one tRNA (with a specific anti-codon) for a particular amino acid; and 'wobble' base-pairing, i.e. permitting non-standard base-pairing at the 3rd anti-codon position. The record is from RNAcentral. Lineage: Eukaryota; Metazoa; Arthropoda; Insecta; Orthoptera; Tettigoniidae.
CAGAAUAUAACUUUGUAGUAAAGUAUUUCAUUUACAUUGAAUAUAGUUCUGUGCAACUCAGAAUAUUUUGA